Molecule: ribosomal RNA, 163 nt
Filed under: uncultured bacterium
Lineage: Bacteria
Description: partial 16S ribosomal RNA
Rfam family: Bacterial small subunit ribosomal RNA
Source: RNAcentral
UGGGGAAUAUUGCGCAAUGGCGAAAGCCUGACGCAGCGACGCCGCGUGAGGGAUGAAGGUCUUCGGAUCGUAAACCUCUGUCAGCAGGGAAGAACGGUCACUGUGCUAAUCAGCAGUGAAUUGACGGUACCUGCAAAGGAAGCACCGGCUAACUCCCGUCGCC